AAAAAUAAACGUACAUCGAUUCAUUAUUUUGUCCAUGUAUCUAAUUGCAAUAUAGUUCAUUAUCUGCUCUUAAAACUGGAUAUUUAUUUCACGUCUGUUUUCUUUUCUUUCUUUUUUCUGAGUCUUUUCACGCGGUGUAAAGUCCAAACACAAGAUAACGAGCUGCUGGCUGCUUUUCCUGCUCCGGAUAAAAUAUUUAUUUUAAUGGCAAUUGCAAGCAUCGCAGUAGUCGGCGUUCUUUCGGUAGCAUUGGCUCCAUACAUCAAGAACCAGGGUGACGGUGAACUCUGCACCCCGGCUCUGUGAAGUCUGAGCUGGCCAGACACCCUCACUGAUAACCCUCAGCUGGAGGCUCUUCUCCUUCUUCAUGAAGACCCCUGGGAGGGAGCGCAAACCAGCAUCUACUGUGCCGUGGCGGAGGACCUGGAGAACGUCUCGGAAGCAGUGACUGCAGCCCUGCAUUCGUCGCUCCUCAAGGGCAGAAAUGAAGAAACAGCGAAGAGGCUGUGAGAUGUGAGCUGUACCCUGCUGGGGGUGUAGUGGGACUGAACUCGAGACCCCUGCAUCAGGCCUGGGCCUUUCGAAGAGUUAAGAGAUUGCCGUGGCUUUGCAGCUUUCCUCUUCAUUUACUAGCUCUGGAGUUUCUAAUUCUGAGUGAAACAGACCAAUUUUGACUGCUUGUAAAAGUCCCUUCUGUCUUUGUGGUGGGAUUUUAUGUUUCUAGGUAUGGGAUGUUGUGAUGUUGGUUUUAUUCUGUACAUUAGGCAGGGUACCUAAUCUCAAAACACCAUGAAAACAGAUCAACUCUGUUACACUAGCCACAGUGUAUAUCUAUUGCCUUAAUGUAUAGAUACAAUACAGUUAUAUAAUUUGAGGAAAUGGAUGUCUUUUUUUCUUUUUUUUUUCUUACGCCCCAUUGUCACAAAGACGGCUGCAGUGGGUGACGUCAGAC
Polyodon spathula (Mississippi paddlefish) is the source of this 952-nucleotide long non-coding RNA. RefSeq lists it as uncharacterized. The transcript has 3 exons. The record is from RefSeq and is a predicted model, not a curated record. Lineage: Eukaryota; Metazoa; Chordata; Actinopteri; Acipenseriformes; Polyodontidae.